RNAcentral lists this long non-coding RNA (627 nucleotides) under Homo sapiens (human). Its description in RNAcentral is "non-protein coding lnc-MYO6-16:1". The record is from RNAcentral. Lineage: Eukaryota; Metazoa; Chordata; Mammalia; Primates; Hominidae.
CUCUUUUCGGACUCAGCCCGCCUGCACCCAGGUGAAAUAAACAGCCUUGUUGCUCACACAAAACCUGUUUGGUGGUCUCUUCACACGGAUGCGCGUGAAACCCUAUACAUACUGACAGAAUAUAUUUUGCACUACAAAAGAAGAAAUCCAAGCUUGUGAAUUUGGAAGUUUAUGUAGAUAUUGCUCUACACAUACCACUCUCUUCUCUAAAGUAAGCUGAGUUUUCUCUGAGAAGAAAAAGGUGAAGAUCCCUGCCCUCAUUAUGCAAGCACUUGGCACCGGAGAAGAAAAGUUUUAUUGCCCUUUGAAUGGAAGCAGAUGGCUCCAGGUCUGACACUUGGCCUCUGAGCCCAAGCUAAGCCAUCUUAUCCCCUGUGACCUGCACAUACACAUCCAGAUGGCCGGUUCCUGCCUUAACUGAUGACAUUCUACCACAAAAGAAGUGAAAAUGGCCUGUUCCUGCCUUAACUGAUGACAUUGUCUUGUGAAAUUCCUUCUCCUGGCUCAUCCUGGCUCAAAAGCUCCCCCACUGAGUACCUUGUGACCCCCACUCCUGCCCGCCAGAGAACAACCCCCCUUUUUCCUUUACCUACCCAAAUCCUAUAAAAAGGCCCCACCCCAUCUCCC